AGUAAUGCGUGACCAACCUCGCCCCAUGCUCCAGAAUAGCUCUUGGAAACGGGUGGUAAUGCUGGAUGCUCCAACUUGACGCAUGUCUUGUUGGAAAGUGUUUAGUGGCAUGGGAUGGGGUCGCGUCCUAUCAGCUUGUAGGCGGGGUAAUGGCCCACCUAGGCUUCGACGGGUAGCCGGCCUGAGAGGGCGGACGGCCACAUUGGGACUGAGAUACGGCCCAGACUCCUACGGGAGGCAGCAGAG
Molecule: ribosomal RNA, 246 nt
Filed under: uncultured Gardnerella sp.
Lineage: Bacteria; Bacillati; Actinomycetota; Actinomycetes; Bifidobacteriales; Bifidobacteriaceae
Description: partial 16S ribosomal RNA
Rfam family: Bacterial small subunit ribosomal RNA
Source: RNAcentral